Non-coding RNA from Acanthosepion pharaonis, 113 nucleotides. The record is from the annotation of a GenBank genome assembly. Lineage: Eukaryota; Metazoa; Mollusca; Cephalopoda; Sepiida; Sepiidae.
UAUGGUCAUAUCAAGUUGAAACACAGGUUCGUGUCCGAUCACUGAAAUUAAGCAACGUCAUGCCAGGUCAGUACCUAAAUGGGUGACCGCUUGGGACUACCAGGUGCUGUAAG